AAGACUAUGCCUUCAGGAUCCUGUCUAUAGCCUGUUACUACAGAAGCUUCUCUGAAUGUGCAGAGCACGGGAACCCAGGAGGGGGAGGUGCAGCAUCCUCCCUGGUGGUGAAGUCGGAACCCACGAGAAGGGGCGCAGUGUUCUCCCUGAGUGUGAAGCUAGCUCUUGGUGUGUUUCGCGACAACUACCACUCCCCACUCAUGAUCCUUCUCCUCCUCCUCUGGAGUUAAGAGGGACAGGGCAUAGUCAGAAGGA
RNAcentral lists this small nucleolar RNA (255 nucleotides) under Otolemur garnettii (small-eared galago). Its description in RNAcentral is "Small nucleolar RNA U3". It matches the Rfam family "Small nucleolar RNA U3". Rfam says of the family: Small nucleolar RNAs (snoRNAs) are involved in the processing and modification of rRNA in the nucleolus. There are two main classes of snoRNAs: the box C/D class, and the box H/ACA class. Lineage: Eukaryota; Metazoa; Chordata; Mammalia; Primates; Galagidae. The record is from Rfam by way of RNAcentral.